UCAAGUUAUUAAGGGUGCAGGGCGGAUGCCUUGGCACUAGGAGCCGAUGAAGGACGUGAUAAGCUGCGAUAAGCUUCGGGGAGUUGCACGUAAACUUUGAUCCGAAGAUUUCCGAAUGAGGAAACUCACUUAGAGUAAUGUCUAAGUAUCAUUAAGUGAAUACAUAGCUUAAUGAGGGGAACUCAGGGAACUGAAACAUCUAAGUACCUGAAGGAAGAGAAAGAAAUUCGAUUCCGUAAGUAGCGGCGAGCGAACGCGGAUUAGCCCAAACCAAUAAAGUUUUCUUUAUUGGGGUUGCGGACAUAUCAUAACGAAGAGGUAUCGUAAUUGAAGAGGUUUGGAAAGACCCACCACAGAAGGUAAUAGUCCUGUAUGUUAAACGAGAAGAUUUCAGAUAUGAUCCAGAGUACCACGGGACACGUGAAACCCUGUGGGAAGCAGGAGGGACCACCCUCCAAGGCUAAAUACUACCUAGUGACCGAUAGCGUAUAGUACCGUGAGGGAAAGGUGAAAAGAACCCCGGGAGGGGAGUGAAAUAGAACCUGAAACCCUGCACUUACAAGCUGUGGAAGCACAUUUCUUGUGUGACCGCGUACUUUUUGUAGAACGGGCCAACGAGUUACGUUAAGUAGCAAGGUUAAGCACUUAAGGUGCGGAGCCGUAGCGAAAGCGAGUUUUAACUGAGCGUUCAGUUACUUGACGUAGACCCGAAACCGGGCGACCUACCCAUGAGCAGGAUGAAGCGAAAGUAAAAUUUCGUGGAGGUCCGAACCCACGAGCGUUGAAAAGCUCGGGGAUGACUUGUGGAUAGCGGUGAAAUUCCAAUCGAGCCCGGAGAUAGCUGGUUCUCCCCGAAAUAGCUUUAGGGCUAGCCUCAAGGUGAGAGAUACGGAGGUAGAGCACUGAAUGUCCUAGGGGGUAUUGCACCUACCGAAGACUAUCAAACUCCGAAUGCCGUCAUCUUAUACUUGGGAGUCAGACUGUGGGUGAUAAGAUUCAUAGUCGAAAGGGCAACAGCCCAGAUCGUCAGCUAAGGUCCCUAAAUGUAAGUUAAGUGGUAAAGGAUGUGGGAUUGCACAGACAACCAGGAUGUUGGCUUAGAAGCAGCCACUCAUUCAAAGAGUGCGUAAUAGCUCACUGGUCGAGUGAUCCUGCGCCGAAGAUUUCCGGGGCUAAAACUUACUACCGAAGCUACGGCAUCAGUAAUGAUGGGUAGGGGAGCUUCCCAUACGGGUUGAAGCGUGACCGUAAGGACAUGUGGACAGUAUGGGAGUGAGAAUGUUGGCAUGAGUAGCGAGAUGUGGGUGAGAAUCCCACAGGCCGUAAACCCAAGGUUUCCAGGGGAAGGUUCGUCCGCCCUGGGUUAGUCGGGACCUAAGCUGAGGCCGAAAGGCGUAGGUGAUGGACAACAGGUUGAUAUUCCUGUACUACCGAUAACCGUUUGAGAGAAGGGAUGACACAGUAGGAUAAGCUAAGCACACUGUUGGUUAUGUGUGCCCAAGCAUUGAGGCAGUCAAAGUAGGCAAAUCCGCUUUGAUAAUGCUGGGAUGUGAUGGGGAGCGAAAUUUAGUAGCGAAGUAGCUGAUUUCACACUGUCAAGAAAAGUCUCUAUCGAGGUUAAAGGUACCCGUACCGCAAACCGACACAGGUGGGUGAGGAGAGUAUCCUAAGGCCAGCGAGAGAACUGUUGUUAAGGAACUCGGCAAAAUGACCCCGUAACUUAGGGAUAAGGGGUGCCACCAUCAGGUGGCCGCAGAGAAUAGGCCCAAGCGACUGUUUACCAAAAACAUAGGUUUCUGCUAAGUCGCAAGACGAUGUAUAGGAGCUGACGCCUGCCCGGUGCUGGAAGGUUAAGGGGAUCUGUUAGAGCAAUCGAAGCAGUGAACUUAAGCCCCAGUAAACGGCGGCCGUAACUAUAACGGUCCUAAGGUAGCGAAAUUCCUUGUCGGGUAAGUUCCGACCCGCACGAAAGGCGUAACGAUUUGGGCACUGUCUCAACAACAGACUCGGUGAAAUUGUAAUUCCGGUGAAGAUGCCGGAUACCUGCGACAGGACGGAAAGACCCCAUGGAGCUUUACUGUAGCUUGACAUUGGGUCUUGGUACUACAUGUACAGGAUAGGUGGGAGGCUUUGAAACCAGGACGCCAGUUUUGGCGGAGCCAUCCUUGGGAUACCACCCUUGUAGUACUGGGACUCUAACCAUAGGCCAUGAAUCUGGUCUUGGGACACUGUCAGGUGGGCAGUUUGACUGGGGCGGUCGCCUCCCAAAAGGUAACGGAGGCGCUCAAAGGUUCUCUCAGUACGGUCGGAAAUCGUACGUAGAGUGUAAAGGCAAAAGAGAGCUUGAUUGCAAGACAUACAGGUCGAGCAAGGAUGAAAAUCGGACUUAGUGAUCCGGUGGUUCUGCGUGGAAGGGCCAUCGCUCAACGGAUAAAAGCUACCCUGGGGAUAACAGGCUUAUCUCCCCCAAGAGUCCACAUCGACGGGGAGGUUUGGCACCUCGAUGUCGGCUCAUCACAUCCUGGGGCUGUAGUAGGUCCCAAGGGUUGGGCUGUUCGCCCAUUAAAGUGGUACGCGAGCUGGGUUCAGAACGUCGUGAGACAGUUCGGUCCCUAUCCGUCGCAGGCGUAGGAAAUUUGAGAAGACCUGUCCUUAGUACGAGAGGACCGGGAUGGACGUACCUCUGGUGUACCAGUUGUUCUGCCAAGGGCAUGGCUGGGUAGCUAUGUACGGCAUGGAUAAGCGCUGAAAGCAUCUAAGCGCGAAGCCAACUUCAAGAUAAGAUUUCCCACCGCAAGGGUAAGACCCCAGAAAGACUAUCUGGUUGAUAGGUCGAAGGUGUAAGUGCAGCAAUGUAUUUAGCUUAUCGAUACUAAUAGGUCGAGGACUUGACCAA
Molecule: ribosomal RNA, 2896 nt
Filed under: Clostridioides difficile
Lineage: Bacteria; Bacillati; Bacillota; Clostridia; Peptostreptococcales; Peptostreptococcaceae
Description: bacterial LSU rRNA
Rfam family: Bacterial large subunit ribosomal RNA
Source: RNAcentral